This is a small nucleolar RNA of Gossypium raimondii (Peruvian cotton), 87 nucleotides long. The record is from Rfam. NCBI's taxonomy places the organism in Eukaryota, Viridiplantae, Streptophyta, Magnoliopsida, Malvales, Malvaceae.
UGCAAUCUAUUAUGAAAAUGAAUCAUCAAACCUGAUGUGUCUUAUGAUGAUUAUAUAAAUAUUCACCAUCUUUUGGCUGAGAUUGCU